RNAcentral lists this ribosomal RNA (444 nucleotides) under uncultured bacterium. RNAcentral's name for it is "bacterial SSU rRNA". It matches the Rfam family "Bacterial small subunit ribosomal RNA", at positions 331 to 792 of the family's 1533-position model. The record is from RNAcentral.
CCAGACUCCUACGGGAGGCAGCAGUGGGGGAUAUUGCACAAUGGGGGGAACCCUGAUGCAGCGACGCCGCGUGGGUGAAGAAGCGCCUCGGCGCGUAAAGCCCUGUCAGCAGGGAAGAAAAUGACGGUACCUGAAGAAGAAGCCCCGGCUAACUACGUGCCAGCAGCCGCGGUAAUACGUAGGGGGCAAGCGUUAUCCGGAUUUACUGGGUGUAAAGGGGGCGCAGACGGCGAUGCAAGCCAGGAGUGAAAGCCCGGGGCCCAACCCCGGGACUGCUCUUGGAACUGCGUGGCUGGAGUGCAGGAGGGGCAGGCGGAAUUCCUGGUGUAGCGGUGAAAUGCGUAGAUAUCAGGAGGAACACCGGUGGCGAAGGCGGCCUGCUGGACUGCAACUGACGUUGAGGCCCGAAAGCGUGGGGAGCAAACAGGAUUAGAUACCCCAGUA